UCGCGACUCUCAACCCUUUGUGAACUUAUUCAGUUGAGCUGCUUCGGCAGGUAUGUGAACGGGCGUUUCGAAAGAAGCACCGGGAACACGCCUGCCGGCCGGCUCGCCAACCAAACUCUUUGUUAAUCUAAGGACCUCUGAGUUAAAAACAAAAUUUAUUAAAACUUUCAACAACGGAUCUCUUGGUUCUGGCAUCGAUGAAGAACGCAGCGAAAUGCGAUAAGUAAUGUGAAUUGCAGAAUUCAGUGAAUCAUCGAAUCUUUGAACGCACAUUGCGCCCUCUAGUAUUCUGGAGGGCAUGCCUGUUCGAGCGUCAUUUCAACCCCUCUGUACUCUCGGGUAUAGGUGUUGGAGCUUUGUAGCAAUGCAAUCUCCUAAAGACAUUGGCGGACCUCCUAUGGUACCGAGCGCAGUAAUAACAUUCUCGCUUUGGGAACAAGGGAUGGCCUCUUGCCGUUAAACCCCCAAAUUUUUAAGGUUGACCUCGGAUCAGGUAGGAAUACCCGCUGAACUUAAGCAUAUCAUAAA
This 528-nucleotide unclassified non-coding RNA is filed under the name Pezizomycotina sp. Ple. RNAcentral describes it as "partial contains 18S rRNA, ITS1, 5.8S rRNA, ITS2 and 28S RNA". The stretch from base 163 to 316 matches the Rfam family "5.8S ribosomal RNA". The record is from RNAcentral. Lineage: Eukaryota; Fungi; Ascomycota.